Molecule: non-coding RNA, 840 nt
Organism: Pelobates cultripes (western spadefoot toad)
Lineage: Eukaryota; Metazoa; Chordata; Amphibia; Anura; Pelobatidae
Source: the annotation of a GenBank genome assembly
GCAUGUUAUAGAGGUAAAGCCUACAUUUCUAAUAAGAUGCAAUGACUGUAAUUAUUAUUUCAAAUAAAUCUUAAAAAACUGCUUGAGCAGAUGGUAAAUCAAAAUGAUAUGAUUAGAGAUAAUUGCCUCUUGAGUUUAUACCCCCGAAAUAUAUUUAUUCUGUGUUUAUUCCAGGUAUCUAUACCCCAAAUAUAUAUUUAUCCUAUGUUGAUCCCAGGUAUCUAUAGUCCAACAAAAAUAUUUAUCCUGUGUUGAUCCCAGGUAUCUAUAGUCCAAAAUAUAUUUAUCCUGUGCUUAUCCCAGGUAUCUAUACCCAACAUAUAUUUAUCCUGUGUUUAUCCCAGGUAUCUAUACCCACAAAUAUAUUUAUCCUGUGCUUAUCCCAGGUAUCUAUACCCACAAUUAUAUUUAUCCUGUGUUUAUGCCAUGUAUCUAUACCCAACAUAUAUUUAUCCUGUGUUUAUCCCAGGUAUCUAUACCCAACAUAUAUUUAUCCUGUGCUUAUCCCAGGUAUCUAUACCCACAAUUAUAUUUAUCCUGUGUUUAUCCCAGGUAUCUAUACCCACAAUUAUAUUUAUCCUGUGUUUAUCCCAUGUAUCUAUACCCAACAUAUAUUUAUCCUGCGUUUAUCCCAUGUAUCUAUACCCCAAAAUAUAUUUAUCCUUUGCUUAUCCUAGAUAUCUAUACUCACAAAUAUAUUUAUUCUGUGCUUAUCCCAGGUAUCUAUACCCAAAAAUAUAUUUAUUGUGUGUGUAACCCGUGUGUCUAUACCCCAACAUAUAUUUAUCCUGUGUUUACCCUGUGGGUCUAUACUCAAAAUAUAUUUAUCCUGUGUUUAAU